Acipenser ruthenus (sterlet) is the source of this 1132-nucleotide long non-coding RNA. RefSeq lists it as uncharacterized. The record is from RefSeq and is a predicted model, not a curated record. Lineage: Eukaryota; Metazoa; Chordata; Actinopteri; Acipenseriformes; Acipenseridae. The transcript is spliced from 2 exons.
AAAUGCUCACGCCAGCUGAUGGAAGUAUCUGUGCUUUGAUCAGGAAGAAGACAGUUUCUCCUUUUCAGACAGGAUUAUAAACAGGAAGAGCAGGUGACCUACCUGUACCAGCAAGUGCUGAGAUGAGAUCCCUGGGCAGAUGACGGUUUCCAUUGCCCUUUGAAAUGCAUGAUGGAAGAAGUCAAUCAGGAAAUUGGCAUUGAACCGUCCGGUUCUUCCACAGUCUAAGCUCCUGCUAGGUGCAGUAGUUUGCCAGCCUCUUUUCAAAUGCUUUUUCCUACCCCUAAAUUAUUGCUGGUGCACGUGACAAUGACUUUUUCUUGCUCGAUAGUGCAGUUGUGUUUGUUAUUUUUCUAGAGGCUGCAUUAAAUAGUUUUAAAGAUUAGAUUUGUAGGUUAGCUCACACAGAAACACCCAAAACUGUAGGAAGAAAUCUCUUUUUUUUUUUACCUUUAUUUCACAUCUACCAUUUCUGCACAUUUAAUUGUGAAACUAAACCAGCUACUUUGUUGUGUUCAAACAUGUAAUGCAGACUUACCAUAAAACCUAAACUUAGUCCCCACUGCCUCCAAGCCAGAGAUAUGUUAUUAAAGAAAUCCUUUCCUCAGAACAGUGCAGCAGAGAUUCGUAAUUGUAUUUUAUCUGGGUUGGGGCACAAUAUGGGAUGUUACUGUGGCUAAACAGUCCUGUCUCUUACUCAUGUUCUUAACUUACAAAGCCACGCUGCCUCCAAAACUAAAAAUGUACACAAAACAAAAAGCACAGGUCCAAGGUUAAGAAUGUAUUGGCAUUUCCUAAAGCAUGGUGGCCCUGUGGUUUGAACAGUGGCACAGGAGGGCAGUGCGGCCUAAAACAGAAGUCUAUUGGUUCAGUUUCGUCUAACCCACAUCACAUCAUCUGCCUGAAACACUACUAAAACAAGUAACGCUUUUACUAGCAAAUCUCGCACAACACAACACAGCUAUGGAAAAAAGACAUUUCUGAACUGAAAUAAAUAAAAUACAAACAAUUUGAUCAGGGGUAACGUGUACAAGAAUUCCUGGUCACGAAUCGGACAGAAAGCACAGGUUGUAAAAUAUUCAAAACAGGUAAGCUACCCUAAAAUCAAUCAAUCAAUCAAUCAAUCAAUCAA